Molecule: ribosomal RNA, 855 nt
Filed under: Escherichia coli
Lineage: Bacteria; Pseudomonadati; Pseudomonadota; Gammaproteobacteria; Enterobacterales; Enterobacteriaceae
Description: partial 23S ribosomal RNA
Rfam family: Bacterial large subunit ribosomal RNA
Source: RNAcentral
GUGGAAGCGUCUGGAAAGGCGCGCGAUACAGGGUGACAGCCCCGUACACAAAAAUGCACAUAUUGUGAGCUCGAUGAGUAGGGCGGGACACGUGGUAUCCUGUCUGAAUAUGGGGGGACCAUCCUCCAAGGCUAAAUACUCCUGACUGACCGAUAGUGAACCAGUACCGUGAGGGAAAGGCGAAAAGAACCCCGGCGAGGGGAGUGAAAAAGAACCUGAAACCGUGUACGUACAAGCAGUGGGAGCACGCUUAGGCGUGUGACUGCGUACCUUUUGUAUAAUGGGUCAGCGACUUAUAUUCUGUAGCAAGGUUAACCGAAUAGGGGAGCCGAAGGGAAACCGAGUCUUAACUGGGCGUUAAGUUGCAGGGUAUAGACCCGAAACCCGGUGAUCUAGCCAUGGGCAGGUUGAAGGUUGGGUAACACUAACUGGAGGACCGAACCGACUAAUGUUGAAAAAUUAGCGGAUGACUUGUGGCUGGGGGUGAAAGGCCAAUCAAACCGGGAGAUAGCUGGUUCUCCCCGAAAGCUAUUUAGGUAGCGCCUCGUGAAUUCAUCUCCGGGGGUAGAGCACUGUUUCGGCAAGGGGGUCAUCCCGACUUACCAACCCGAUGCAAACUGCGAAUACCGGAGAAUGUUAUCACGGGAGACACACGGCGGGUGCUAACGUCCGUCGUGAAGAGGGAAACAACCCAGACCGCCAGCUAAGGUCCCAAAGUCAUGGUUAAGUGGGAAACGAUGUGGGAAGGCCCAGACAGCCAGGAUGUUGGCUUAGAAGCAGCCAUCAUUUAAAGAAAGCGUAAUAGCUCACUGGUCGAGUCGGCCUGCGCGGAAGAUGUAACGGGGCUAAACCAUG